UACGAAGGGGGCUAGCGUUGCUCGGAAUCACUGGGCGUAAAGCGCACGUAGGCGGCUUUCUAAGUCAGGGGUGAAAUCCUGGAGCUCAACUCCAGAACUGCCUUUGAUACUGGGAAGCUCGAGUCCGGAAGAGGUGAGUGGAACUCCGAGUGUAGAGGUGAAAUUCGUAGAUAUUCGGAAGAACACCAGUGGCGAAGGCGGCUCACUGGUCCGGUACUGACGCUGAGGUGCGAAAGCGUGGGGAGCAAACAGG
RNAcentral lists this ribosomal RNA (253 nucleotides) under uncultured bacterium. Its description in RNAcentral is "partial 16S ribosomal RNA". It matches the Rfam family "Bacterial small subunit ribosomal RNA", at positions 524 to 776 of the family's 1533-position model. The record is from RNAcentral.